CGCCGAGGGGGUGUUCCCGGCGGGUGUGGCCGGAGGGCGGCCUCGGUGGCCGGUGUCCCCUCCCCGCGGAGGCGCGGCGGCGCGCGGUGGGGCCGCGAUCCGCAGGAAGGGGAAGGAGAGCGGAGGAGAGCGCGGAGCAGAGGCCGCCGCGGGUGCGCGGGAGGCGGGAGGCGGGAGGCGGGAGGCGCCGGCCCGCGCCGCAGCCGCGCGCGCUGCAGGUGAACUUGGCCGCGGCGGUGGCCGAUCCCGCGGUCGCCGUCCCCUCCGCUCCGGGGGCCGCAGCUCGCCCAUGGCCGAGGGCCGGCGGCGGGAGGACGAGGAGGAAGAGCUGCGCGAGCGCCGCGAGCUCGGGGGCCCGCGCCGCGCCCGGGGCCGGGCCAUCUCGGGUCACCCGGCCGCAGAUCGCAACGAACGCAACAAACCAGAGCCUCGUUCUUCCAGCCAAGGACCCUUGUCAUCCAUCAGAGCAGUAAUCAAGAGAUGUAAGUUUGUUUCUUCCUGCUCUGGGUUUUACUCUGUGAUAAUUUUAAAUGAUGGUUUAGAUUUCUAGGAAGAGUGUAUUGAUGACUCUCUAAAGAACCUCACAAGAACAGCUUGUUCUGUUCUUGUAAUAAAGCAUUUCAGACAAACA
RNAcentral lists this long non-coding RNA (631 nucleotides) under Castor canadensis (American beaver). Its description in RNAcentral is "lncRNA (ENSCCNG00000009659.1)". The record is from RNAcentral. Lineage: Eukaryota; Metazoa; Chordata; Mammalia; Rodentia; Castoridae.